Small nuclear RNA from Mastomys coucha (southern multimammate mouse), 141 nucleotides. RefSeq annotates it as U4 spliceosomal RNA. The record is from RefSeq and is a predicted model, not a curated record. Lineage: Eukaryota; Metazoa; Chordata; Mammalia; Rodentia; Muridae. The transcript has a single exon.
AGCUUUGUGCAGUGGCAGUAUUGUAGCCAAUAAAGUUUAUCCGAGGCAUGAUUAUUACUAAUUGAAAACUUUUCCCAAUACUCCACCAUGAUGUCUUGCAAUAUAGUCAGCAUUGGCAAUUUUUGACAGUCUCUAUGGAAA